GUCUCCUUCGUCUAGGGGUCAGGACAUCGGGUUUUCAUCCCGACAACGGGGGUUCGACUCCCCCAGGAGAUG
RNAcentral lists this transfer RNA (72 nucleotides) under Treponema sp. Its description in RNAcentral is "tRNA-Glu". It matches the Rfam family "tRNA". From Rfam's summary of the family: Transfer RNA (tRNA) molecules are approximately 80 nucleotides in length. Their secondary structure includes four short double-helical elements and three loops (D, anti-codon, and T loops). Lineage: Bacteria; Pseudomonadati; Spirochaetota; Spirochaetia; Treponematales; Treponemataceae. The record is from RNAcentral.